CUCGUAAGAGCAAAGCAGGGGACCUUCGGGCCUUGCGCUACCGGAUAUGCCCAGGUGGGAUUAGCUAGUUGGUGAGGUAAGGGCUCACCAAGGGCGAACGAUCCCUAGCUAGGUCUGAGAGGAUGAUCAGCCACACUGGAACUGAGACACGGUCCAGACUCCUACGGGAGGCAGCAGGUGGGGAAUAUUGCACAAUGGGCGCAAGCCUGAUGCAGCCAUGCCGCGUGUAUGAAGAAGGCCUCGG
Molecule: ribosomal RNA, 244 nt
Filed under: uncultured Vibrio sp.
Lineage: Bacteria; Pseudomonadati; Pseudomonadota; Gammaproteobacteria; Vibrionales; Vibrionaceae
Description: partial 16S ribosomal RNA
Rfam family: Bacterial small subunit ribosomal RNA
Source: RNAcentral